CUAAACAUAUCCCUGUUUUCUGCCUUUUCCUUUCGUCAUAAAAAGUAAGUAUGGAAGAUUGGCCAUUACUAUUUUGGAGCAAGAAGCUCUGCACUUUAUUUAAUUCUUUGCAGUAUCAACGUUCAAAUUCAAACGGGUAGGUUAGAUCAAAAUUCAAAAUCAAAUCUGAAAAAUUCCCGCUCAAGAAGCCCUAUAUAUAAUCUGCUGCUAUAAAUAUCUGCAUUGGGCUUAAUUUCGGGCAAGCUCGGAGCCGCGCUUUCACCCCAUAAACAAAAGGCUAAGCCGCCCUCUCUAUCCCAAAUAAUCGAAUGUUUACUAUUGUUUGCCUUCUGAUACCAAAUUGAUAGGUAUCUCGAUGAAACAGUAGCUAAG
Molecule: long non-coding RNA, 372 nt
Filed under: Nicotiana benthamiana
Lineage: Eukaryota; Viridiplantae; Streptophyta; Magnoliopsida; Solanales; Solanaceae
Description: long non-coding RNA (NBEN_LNC012313)
Source: RNAcentral